UUUUUUGCCAUCAAAUGGCUCAUCUAGUGUGA
This 32-nucleotide non-coding RNA is filed under the name Rattus norvegicus (Norway rat). The record is from RNAcentral. Lineage: Eukaryota; Metazoa; Chordata; Mammalia; Rodentia; Muridae.